RNAcentral lists this ribosomal RNA (497 nucleotides) under Escherichia coli. Its description in RNAcentral is "partial 23S ribosomal RNA". It matches the Rfam family "Bacterial large subunit ribosomal RNA", at positions 2144 to 2640 of the family's 2925-position model. Lineage: Bacteria; Pseudomonadati; Pseudomonadota; Gammaproteobacteria; Enterobacterales; Enterobacteriaceae. The record is from RNAcentral.
UAGGUGGGAGGCUUUGAAGUGUGGACGCCAGUCUGCAUGGAGCCGACCUUGAAAUACCACCCUUUAAUGUUUGAUGUUCUAACGUGGACCCGUAAUCCGGGUUGCGGACAGUGUCUGGUGGGUAGUUUGACUGGGGCGGUCUCCUCCUAAAGAGUAACGGAGGAGCACGAAGGUUGGCUAAUCCUGGUCGGACAUCAGGAGGUUAGUGCAAUGGCAUAAGCCAGCUUGACUGCGAGCGUGACGGCGCGAGCAGGUGCGAAAGCAGGUCAUAGUGAUCCGGUGGUUCUGAAUGGAAGGGCCAUCGCUCAACGGAUAAAAGGUACUCCGGGGAUAACAGGCUGAUACCGCCCAAGAGUUCAUAUCGACGGCGGUGUUUGGCACCUCGAUGUCGGCUCAUCACAUCCUGGGGCUGAAGUAGGUCCCAAGGGUAUGGCUGUUCGCCAUUUAAAGUGGUACGCGAGCUGGGUUUAGAACGUCGUGAGACAGUUCGGUCCCUA